UACAGAGGUCUCAAGCGUUGUUCGGAUUCAUUGGGCGUAAAGGGUGCGUAGGUGGCGUCGUAAGUCAGGUGUGAAAUUUCGGAGCUUAACUUCGAAACUGCAUUUGAUACUGCGGUGCUUGAGGACUGGAGAGGAGACUGGAAUUUACGGUGUAGCAGUGAAAUGCGUAGAGAUGGGGGAGAACACUCGUGGCGAAGGCGGCCAGCUAGACCAGUUCUGACACUGAGGCGCGACAGCGUGGGGAGCAAACAGG
Molecule: ribosomal RNA, 253 nt
Filed under: uncultured bacterium
Lineage: Bacteria
Description: partial 16S ribosomal RNA
Rfam family: Bacterial small subunit ribosomal RNA
Source: RNAcentral